RNAcentral lists this signal recognition particle RNA (99 nucleotides) under Alphaproteobacteria bacterium. RNAcentral describes it as "signal recognition particle sRNA small type". It matches the Rfam family "Bacterial small signal recognition particle RNA". Rfam says of the family: The signal recognition particle (SRP) is a universally conserved ribonucleoprotein involved in the co-translational targeting of proteins to membranes. The record is from RNAcentral. Lineage: Bacteria; Pseudomonadati; Pseudomonadota; Alphaproteobacteria.
CACGGAAGGCGGCGCGGGCGAGAUAUUGCCCAACCCGGUCAGGGGCGAAAGCCAGCAGCCGUAAGUAAUUUUUUCGGGUCGUGUCCGUCUUCCACAUUU